AACGUAAAUGAGGGUAUAAAUUGAUGCGAAGAUGUGAUAAUUAU
Molecule: non-coding RNA, 44 nt
Filed under: Trypanosoma brucei brucei
Lineage: Eukaryota; Euglenozoa; Kinetoplastea; Trypanosomatida; Trypanosomatidae
Source: RNAcentral